GCUGGUGUAGCUCAAUUGGCCGAGCAGCUGAUUUGUAAUCAGCAGGUUAAGGGUUCGAGUCCCUUCACCAGCUCCA
RNAcentral lists this transfer RNA (76 nucleotides) under Clostridia bacterium. RNAcentral describes it as "tRNA-Thr". It matches the Rfam family "tRNA". From Rfam's summary of the family: Transfer RNA (tRNA) molecules are approximately 80 nucleotides in length. The record is from RNAcentral. Lineage: Bacteria; Bacillati; Bacillota; Clostridia.